UUUUCUGAAAUUCUCGUCUCAGAAAACCACCGACACUCUUAGCAAGGAAGCUGAACCUCCUGGGUUUUGCCAACACAUUUUUCCAUAGUUUGGUAAAGAAAGAAACCUCGAAAUUCUACAUGUGGUUUUUCUUCUUUAUAAAAUCAAGUAAGAGGGCACUUUAGGACUGAGUUUCCACCCAAGUACUUCGGUUUUCUCUCCAGAUAUGAACAUCUUUACAGUUCAAGUCGAUGAAAACAGAAGAUACAUGCAAAACCUGACAGUUGAACAACCUAUUGAAGUUAAAAAGCUUUUCGUUGGGGGUGCUCCGCCUGAAUUUCAACCUUCCCCACUCAGAAAUAUUCCUCCUUUUGAAGGCUGUGUAUGGAAUCUUGUUAUUAACUCUGUCCCCAUGGACUUUGCAAGGCCUGUAUCCUUCAAAAACGCUGACAUUGGUCGCUGUGCCCAUCAGAAACUCCGUGAAGAUGAAGAUGGAGCAGCUCCAGCUGAAAUAGUUAUCCAGCCUGAGCCAGUUCCCACCCCAGCCUUUCCUACGCCCACCGCAGUUCUGACACAUGGUCCUUGUGCUGC
RNAcentral lists this small RNA (570 nucleotides) under Pongo abelii (Sumatran orangutan). Its description in RNAcentral is "processed transcript". The record is from RNAcentral. Lineage: Eukaryota; Metazoa; Chordata; Mammalia; Primates; Hominidae.